RNAcentral lists this ribosomal RNA (164 nucleotides) under Trichocentrum longicalcaratum. RNAcentral's name for it is "5.8S ribosomal RNA". It matches the Rfam family "5.8S ribosomal RNA". From Rfam's summary of the family: 5.8S ribosomal RNA (5.8S rRNA) is a component of the large subunit of the eukaryotic ribosome. The record is from RNAcentral. Lineage: Eukaryota; Viridiplantae; Streptophyta; Magnoliopsida; Asparagales; Orchidaceae.
GACACGACUCUCGGCAAUGGAUAUCUCGGCUCUCGCAUCGAUGAAGAGCGCAGCGAAAUGCGAUACGUGGUGUGAAUUGCAGAAUCCCGUGAACCAUCGAGUCUUUGAACGCAAGUUGCGCCUGAGGCCAGCCGGCUAAAGGCAUGCCCGCCUGGGCGUCAAGC